Molecule: long non-coding RNA, 4490 nt
Organism: Cylas formicarius (sweet potato weevil)
Lineage: Eukaryota; Metazoa; Arthropoda; Insecta; Coleoptera; Brentidae
Exons: 3
Source: RefSeq, a predicted model, not a curated record
ACCUAAGUUUUUAAAAAUCGUGUUCUUAAUACUUGGCUUCAUUUUAAUGAAACUUAUACUAUUGCUUGACGCAAUACGGGCCUUCCUUCAGUGCCAUCAAGAUAAGUUAACGUGAAGUCGUCUUAGUAAGUAAUCUAAAAGAAAAAUUCGUUGAAAAUUAAAAACCGUUUGUCUGCUUGUUGAUGGAAUACUUAAAUCAAGAAAUAAACUUCACUAAAUUGAUUUUACAUAUUAGAUGGGGAUCAUCGGAGCCCUCAAUUUUUUUACACUAAGAGCGUGCUAAAUUUUAUUGAGUAAUUAAUAAAAAAACAAUUUUCUUUUUAUACCUUGACUAUCUAAUAUAUCCUAAUAUUACGGAAACGGAAACUAAAUAUACGGAAAUGUAAAUCCAGUACAGUUAAGGUUUUUACUUUCUGCUAUGCAAUAAGGGAAUUAAAACACUGUGAUUAUUUGAGCUACCUCAGGAUCUAUUUCAAACAGCUAAGAUCACUUACUGUAAUGAAAAAAGCCAAAAAGUAUAAACGAAAAUAAGAAGGAUCCUAAAAUUGUUCAGAAGCUAAACUAUUUAUGGCUCACCAUGUUGUAUCAAACGUCUACUUUAGUGAAUAGAAAGCAAUUGUCAUUAUUAUUGUGGAGUUCAGAUUACUCGGAUACUUUUAUCUCUAGUAAUAUAUAGUUGAACUGCGAUUUGACACACGAAAAUUAUGAAAGAGCAGUACAUAUGUAUGUAUGUAUUUACAUAAUAUAUGUACAUAAAAAUGUCUGGUAUAUGUACCCAGUAUAUAUAAACAUAUAAAUACAUAUAUAUGUACAUAUUAAAGUUUACUCUUUCACUGGAAAAAAGUCAGUUAUUUGUGACUGACGACCGGAUUUCUUAUUUUGGUUUUCAACAAAAGCUUCAAUUUUAUUUAAAUAAUCAUAGAGGGAAUCGGUUGUGUAUUCACUGGUUUUCAAAUAGGAAUGCAAGACAAUCAACGAAUUUUCAACCAAUUCAUUUGAAGGUGGUUGCUGAGAAUCAUCUUCCAAUUCCUCCUUCGCAGUCAUUUUCGAUGUUUAACUGUACCGAUUCGGAUCUGCGAAAUUCGAUAAUAUCUUCAUCAGUAUGAAACUCUGAAGUAACAAUAUCCUCAUCCACAUAUAUAAAAUCGUUGAUGUUGCUACCUUCUGCUAUACCUCUAAUGUUUGUCUAAGCUUUAAACUCAAUUUCUAUUUGGAUUUCGUCUUCACACUUUUCUUUCAGGCGUUCACUUAGGAAAAUCAAGGGAAUCUCAUCUUCUUCCCAUUCAGAAUACUGACCAAAACCGGCUUUUUUAAAACAAUUGGAAAUUGUUUCAGGCUUCCAUGCGAUAGUUACAUCGUCAAUACAAUCCAUUAGUGUAAUGUUAUUGUUUUUGUUUUCUUCGAAACGGUCCAUUGCGAUGAUGACUGCAUGUUUAUUUUUCAAAAUUGUAGACACUGUACUUGCCGAAAUCCCAUACUUCACAGCUACAUCUUUAUUUUUUGAGUCACUUUCCACUUCUUUUAUAACCUUGAAUUUUUGAUCAACAGACAAAGCUUUUAAAGUACGUUUCGAUGACAUAUCAACAAAUGCAAAAAUCCAAAAAUGUCUUUAAUAUAAUGUGUAAAUUGAAUAGAGACAGCAUUUUUCACUUAGUAUUAACCAGUAAGUCAUACAAGUGAACUUAGCAAGAACAGAAACUGAACUGUUUGCAUAGAUACGUUAAAAAGACAGGUUAAGAUCGGUCGUAAUUAUUGGGUCCCCCGAGAAAAUUCGACUUAUCGAAGUUGGCACCAAAUGUCUCGUUCGAGUGAUCAAGAUAUUCGAAUAAUCAAAGUUCGAGUAAUCAAGAGAAACUAACACACAUUUCCUAUUUUUGACGCUAUUGCCAACCAAUUUGGUUCGACUUAUCAAAAAUUCGAGUUAUCGAAGUUCGACUUAUCGAAGUAUUAUUCAUAGAAAAUUACGCACCCAAACAAAAAGAAAGCUCCCUGAAGAUAAUCUUGGUCAAAACACAAAACAUCAUGUAGAAGAAAUACAGAAAAAGUAUGUACGAUAAAGCAGAAACUGAAUUAAUAUCAAAGCAAUUUCUUAAAAUCACUACAGGAAUAAGUGAAAAGUUUCAUUCAUUUUUCUUUUAUUUAUAAGAAUGAUAUUUUCGAAAAUUUUUGUAGGUAAGUUCCUCCACAGAAUCAAAAUUUGUAGGAACAAAUUGUGUAAUCUUUUUUCAACUUAUAUGUUUAACUUGCAACCUGAGCAAAUAGCAAAUGAGUCUAGAACGUUUGUGCCCAGCGUUGCCAAAUUGUGAGCUAACUGAAGGUACUAUUUAUCUAAAAUAAGAUAAAUGUGAAGCCGUCUGGUUUACAAAAGGUAGGAGAAGAGCCCCGUCAUUAAAUAUAAAAAGAGAUAGUAAGGAAAUUGCUUUUAAGCACCAUGUAAAAUAUUUAGGAGUGGUGCUACAAAACAUUUGAAGUGGAAUAUAGCUGUGAUAAACCAAAGAAAGCAAUUAAUAUAAUGAUAUGCAACUCCCACCUAGAUUAUGGCUCCAUUUUCCAAUAACAAGACUGCACUUAACAAGCUUAACGUGAUCCAUUUUGAAGGUUUGAGAAUAGCGCUGAGAUGUAUGAGGUCAACCCCAACGAAUGUUUAGCUGGCGGAAGCAUUGGAACUGGACCUAGAUACAAGGAGGAGAAAACUGGCAGUGUCCUUUCUGGCUGGAGUCCUAGUCAUUGCGGACCACCCUUUAACAGACCUCAUAGAUAAUCUCCGAAAUUACUGUAGUAGAUGUUAGUCUUGCCUGUUUGUCUGUGGUUUUUGUGAGCUCUGAACCUGCCUACUAACGGACCCUGUCUCCUUAACAACGUUAGAUGCCUCUUAAAUAGAAACAGAAGUCUGAAAAGUAAACUUCCCCAGGAGAAGAUUCUCGAUUAUCUGGGCUAGUUCUAAAUAGAGCUGGCAAAUUGCCUAGUAGCGGCGCCAACCCCAAAAGAAGAAGAAGAUCUAAAAUAAGUGUAGAGGUUCGGGCCAACCUAUUGACCUCUAGGAUAAGCUACAGGAAAAUGAAAUUUUUGUCGGCCCAGGCGAUAGUGUAGGAUUCUUGGUUUUACUUCUAAAUCUGUCAAAAUAACUCUAUGUACACUAGGAAACGUUGGUCCUCCGGAGCUGACCAACUCCUUUUAUUCUACGAGGUCACCAAUAACCCUUUACAUUUAUAUAUGUACUAUUUGGCAGACUUGUUAUCAGUUCAGAAGAAUACGGUCUAAAGGAUAGCACAUAGAUCCUUAGAAAUACUUAAGGAAGUUGCUCAGAACUCUGAACUGACCUGAACAUAAAAGGUAGUACAACGGAAACGGAAUAGACAUCCUAAUUUAUCACUCUUAUAUCUAGUUGUUUUUAUGGUGAAAAUAGGCAAACAAUUCUUCUCUCAUUUCCUUCUUUGAUUUUUGCUACAUGUGUGCUAAAUGUCAUCAAAAAAACUUUCCGCGGAAAAAACAUAACAUUAAAAUAGAACGUUAAAUGAAUAUGUUAUUACUGCUGGAGUUUCUGAUAUUUAUUUAUAUUUUUUAUUAUUGUGAUAGACCGCUUAGUUUGUUACAUUUAAGAUUAGAACCUUGUAUGCAGGUCAAAAGGUGGAAACUUUUGCGUGAUAGCUUUUGAAAUUUAAUAUGGUCAUGUCGAAGUCUGUGGUUUUUUCUUAGAGCUCCGAAACUUCAUAUCUUCAUAACUUCAUAACUAGCCAACCAAAAUAUUCGAUUCGAACGACUGAUUACCGCCCCAUGUAUACAAAAUCUUAUAGACAUCCUUACUCCAUGAACUUAGGGAUACAAUCUCAAAUCUAAAAACUUGUGGAUAAUAAAAUUAUGGUUCCUUCAAUUUCGCCAUAUUUGACACCGGUUUGGAUAGUCCCGAACAAAGUCGAUGCAUCUGGAAAGAAAAAGUAUGACAUGGUAGUCGACUAUCAUCGCAUUAACGAUGUCACCAUCGAAGAGAAAUACCUUCUAUCGACGAUUGAAGAAAUCUUGGACAAUCUUGCCCUUAACCUGACCCAAGGAUUGCAUCAAGUUAAAAUGGAUCUAAAAUCCAUUCAUUAACGUAAACAGUAAAUCAAGGUCAUUUUAAGGAUCUCCGGAUGCCGUUUGAUCGGAUAAAUGCACCGGCCAUCUUCCAUCUCAUGAUGGACCAAGUUCUCAUUGAAUAUCUCUACAAAUUCUGCUUUGUUUAUAUGGACGACGUCGUAAUUUUCUCUUUCUGAACAUAUCAACCAUAUUCACAUAAUUUUUGAAAAACCAGAGAAAUCGGAAAUUCUCUCUAGAGAAGUUCGAUUUUUAGGACACAUAAUAACCCCAGAAGCUGUUAAAACCAAUCGCUGUAAAAAAACAAAUUGGUGUAACCUAAUCUAAUCCCUAAAACCGAAAAGGAGGUAAAAGCAUUUCUAGGCGUGGUAGGAUAUUGCCGUAGGUUUAUUAAAGCUAUUAUGAAAAUUACCUUUCCA